UACGUAGGUGGCAAGCGUUGUCCGGAUUCACUGGGCGUAAAGCGCGCGCAGGCGGUCUUCUACGUCUGGGGUGAAAACCCGGGGCUCAACCCCGGGACUGCCUUGGAUACGGGGAGACUUGGGGAUCGGAGAGGCAAGGGGAAUUCCACGUGUAGCGGUGAAAUGCGUAGAGAUGUGGAGGAACACCUGUGGCGAAGGCGCCUUGCUGGCCGAUUUCUGACGCUGAGGCGCGAAAGCGUGGGGAGCAAACAGG
This 253-nucleotide ribosomal RNA is filed under the name uncultured bacterium. Its description in RNAcentral is "partial 16S ribosomal RNA". It matches the Rfam family "Bacterial small subunit ribosomal RNA", at positions 524 to 776 of the family's 1533-position model. The record is from RNAcentral.